AGCCUUUGUGUUGCCCAUUCACCUUUGGUUACUAGUGAAUGUGGUGUCAAAAGAGGCAUAAGUUAAUGCUUUGCAGCCUUUUCUCACCCUGGAGUUUGGUAUCUUGGGUGUAGAGGCUGCGUAAGUAACAGGA
RNAcentral lists this small nucleolar RNA (133 nucleotides) under Neotoma lepida (desert woodrat). RNAcentral describes it as "Small nucleolar RNA SNORA13". It matches the Rfam family "Small nucleolar RNA SNORA13". From Rfam's summary of the family: ACA13 is a member of the H/ACA class of snoRNA that guide the sites of modification of uridines to pseudouridines. Lineage: Eukaryota; Metazoa; Chordata; Mammalia; Rodentia; Cricetidae. The record is from Rfam by way of RNAcentral.